CACCAACCAGCGCCAGGGAAUUACGAGCUAUGCUUAAAACCCAAAGGACUUGACGGUUUCCCACCCCCCUAGAGGAGCCUGUUCUAUAAUCGAUGAUCCCCGCUUUACCUAACCACCCCUCGCCAUCAGUCUGUAUACCUCCGUCGAAAGCUUACCAUAUGAAUGCUUCAGUAAGCCCAAUGAUCCCCAUCAACACGUCAGGUCAAGGUGCAGCUUAAGGAGUGGGAAGUGAUGGGCUACAAUUUCUAAACUAGAACAAACGAAAGACUAGGUGAAACCCUAGUCAUGAAGGCGGAUUUAGUAGUAAAAAGAAAAUAGAGUGUUCUUUUUAACAUGGCUCUGGGACGCGUACACACCGCCCGUC
Molecule: ribosomal RNA, 364 nt
Filed under: Nidirana hainanensis
Lineage: Eukaryota; Metazoa; Chordata; Amphibia; Anura; Ranidae
Description: partial 12S ribosomal RNA
Rfam family: Bacterial small subunit ribosomal RNA
Source: RNAcentral